AAGUGGCUAUACAUCGUCAAAAAUUACAUUAGCUGGAGGCAAAAUGUCGCUCCGUAUUUGUUCGUCUAAAUACCUGUGGAUCACCUGUUAUCCCGGGUUCAGCUCAUUGCCACUGAGGAAGCAAAGUAUCAAAGGUUCGACUUGCGGACGGUGGCUGUCGCACACAGGUGCUCACCGGCGGCCAUUGGAGGGCGUGAGAGUCCUGGACCUGACCCGGGUCCUGGCUGGACCCUUUGCCACCAUGAUGCUGGGAGACCUGGGUGCCGAGGUCAUCAAAGUGGAAAAACCAGGUACAGGUGAUGACACCCGAGCGUGGGGUCCCCCCUUUGUUGGCCCGGAAAGCGUCUACUUCCUCAGCGUCAACCGCAAUAAAAAAAGUGUUGCAGUGGACCUCAAACAUCCCAGAGGAGCAAAGCUCAUCCAGGAGCUUGCAGGGGUGUGUGACGUGUUGAUGGAGAACUUCCUGCCAGGCAAACUUGCUCUGAUGGGUUUAGGAUACGAGGAGCUCAGCAGACGCAACCCGGCGUUGAUCUACUGCUCCAUUUCAGGUUAUGGCCAAACGGGUCCUCAGAAUCAGAGUCCAGGUUACGACUCCAUUGCCUCCGCUGUGUCGGGCAUGAUGCACAUCACCGGGACGGAGGAUGGCGAGCCCGUUCGCCCCGGUGUAGCUAUGACGGACCUGGCGACUGGAUUGUAUGCGCAUGGGGCCGUCAUGGCAGCCCUUCUGCAGCGACACCAUACGGGGAGGGGCGCUCACAUCGACUGUGACCUACUGUCCUCUCAGGUGUCGUGUCUCAGCCAUGUUGCUGCCAACUUCUUGAACGGUGGGAAGAAGGCAAAGCGCUGGGGGACGGCCCACGAGAGUAUCGUUCCCUACCAGGGAUUCAGAACCAAAGACGGACACGUGGUAAUAGCAGCAGGAAAUGACCAGCAGUUUGUGAAAGUGUGUCAGGUUCUACAGCUUCCGGAGCUCACCCAGCGGCCAGAAUACAAAACGAACAAGCUCAGAGUCCAAAACCGUCAAGGCCUUGUGCACACAUUAUCCCAGAGAUUUCUGCAAGAGACGACAGCUGAUUGGCUGAGAAAGUUUGAGGGCUCAGGUGUUCCUGUCGGGCCAAUCAACAGCAUCCAGGAGGUCUUUUCUGACCCACAGGCGAGCGCACACACACACACACUUAGUACAAAUUGGGGCAUUUGAGGAGACACAGACACAUUAUAUGUCCUUGUUGUGUCCUGUGUAGAACAAUAUCGGAAAAAUGUAACUGUGUGUGUGCGAGCGUAUCUAUGUCUGUUCAUCACACUGUCCCUCAACAUGUAGUAAAAACCGCAUUAGUCACUUUGCAGACUCCAAUAACAGAGUGAUCCUGCACAAGUGUGUGCAGAACAAAGCGACAGGACAUAUGGCAUGCGUGCAUGGCAGCGUGAUGGAGAGAACGCCCGGGGUUAAACGCUGCAGUGUGAAAACAACAUGCUAAUGUUAGCAUGUUAGUCACCAACAUGUAACUGCAGAAUGUUCCUGCGUGUUCCCAGGCUUGCAACAAGUUUUGAGUUCAAUCAUUUCUGGACAACAGCUCCUGCUGCCACCUGGCACGGCGCUGUCUUAUAAAGGCUAUGAUUCAGUGUGUGUGUGUGUGUGUGUGUGUGUGUGUGUGUGUGUGUGUCAGACAAAUCAGUUAGUCUGCCUCUUGAAACACCAACUUGUUUUUUUUUCAUCCCUCUUGUUGGUCGAGACACACCUCGGAGUGGACCAUGUGCCCUGAGUUCUGCUUCACAGCCUGAACAGCUGAGAGAAAAGUCAUAUGUGUGAGGAGUCUUGAUACACGACUGAAUAUGUGCAAGAAAAAGUAGUUUUACAGUUUUGGGCGAGAACUGUCCUUAUCUUCAUCCAAUUUAGAGGCUGUUUGGUUUUAAUAUUCAGUUUGAAUGAGCUAUUAAUCAUUGUCAACAUGCGCUCCUCCAACAUCGCUUGAGUCCAGCUCACCUUGGCUGACUGUAUUUCACCCUGAUAGAAAGGUACACACUAAUCAGGUAAAUAUGCUUUACUGUCCUCAGGGUGGCGUUAUGAUGCACUUUUAUAUAGACUAACCAUGUUAGAAAGUAGCUCGGUAACUUGUGCUAACCUUUGUUGACCAUACAUGCUUUUUGUGACUCGAAAUGAAGCUUCGCUGUGUGCUGUGAAGCGUGUGUUUUGGUGGUAGCUCCGCUGCUGGCAGUCGAGAUGUGGCCGCCCUGAAGCUCAAAGUCUGGAAGUCAUUUGGCGAGCGCCGUUCUCUCUCUCGUCACUGUUGGCCACGGCGCUCUCGUUCUCCGCUUCCUGUCCGUCGCUUUCAUCCGCCUCUUCGCGUCAGACAUUUUCAUUUUCCAUUUCUUCAGCUUUGCAUGUCGGACGGCGGUGUCUCAUGCUGAUUCCCAUCAACCACUGGAAAUCCUACGAUACCUGUGCACCUCAGCUGUUGAGUGCUUACUUUAUUUACACCCAGCUGAUCCGCAACCUCAAUUUGACUCAAGCGGCGGCGUGUCUUGAACAUUUACACAAGCAAAGCUCACCUGCAGAUACGCUUUUGCACAAGCUUGUUUCUCACUGGUCCACAUUCACUUCAUGUCUCUCUCUCUAGAGAGAGAGAGAGGUCAGCACAGCUUCUCACCUUUACGACUGCAGGCCCUCCAUCCAUGUAGCUGUCAUGUCCUCUGGGCCUGAGCCCGGUUCUGCAGCAAAUAUGCAACUAAAUAUGGCUUUAAUAUCCUGACUACUGGAGGUGUGUGUGAUUUAUCCCAGCUGAAAGCUAAACAGCCUCUGAAGUGGAUAGUGGAUAUAAAUCAGCUGAUGUCUGGCAGCCUUUCCACUCCGCUUUCACUUCAGCUAAACAAGCAAGCAAAGAAUUUAACUUGCACCCCCAGAACUAGAACAUCCGAGGUCUGGGCUUGUCCUCGGGGUCUUUCUGCCUGCUCUGCAUCACUUCACUGCACUGACCCACAGAGAAAAUCAUGAAUGCCUUGCUCAAGGGAACAAAUGUCACCCCUUUUUGCCUUUUUUGGCUUUUGAACCUGUGAUGAGCCCCAGCAUAUGUACCUUUGCUCAGCGUUGUAUUUGAAAUACAGUCUUUUGCUUCUCUUUCGGGCUGUUUGUCUCUUUGCUUGGACACGGCCGCUAUAAAUAAACUUUAUUACUGUCUGGAAACUGUCAAAUAAAGCUAAGUUGCAGUAAAAUGUUGCUGCGGUGUCUUCCAGUGAGAUUCUGGGUCGCAAGGACCUCACACCGUCUCCUGGAAGCGCAGCUCGACUCGACAUCUUCCUUUUGAAGGUCACAGAGGUGGACCCUUCAGGAUCCAUCCAAGGUCAGGUUGGAGAGUUCACUGUGGUGUCACCAAGAGAAUAUGGUUGGAAUCUCAGCUCUCAGUAUUUCACAUCAUCUUUGCCACCAAGUCGUCUUACAUCUUCAUCAUCUACUAUCUUCUUCUGCUAUGGCUCACCAACGUCAGAGUGGCUGUGACCAGUGCUUGGGACGAUCCUGAUCCUGAUCUCCUCACAAGUCGCAUCAUUUCUAUAUGGUUCUCUUCACUCCGUGUUACUAAAAGAAAGACUCCUUGAGUACCGAAGUGGAACUCCUGCACUCAUCUCGUGUCAGAUGAACCUGCAUUGAAGCGGCUUGUCCACCUGUCAGCACUCUGAGCGCUGUACAACCUGUUCCCUCUUUACAGUAAUUGGUGUCCGUCCAAGCAGAGGCUGCUUGUUUCUAAAGACACUUGUACCUCAAUUGUACCUCACAGAACAAUGACACUGACGUGUUCAUGGCUGUGCUGAUAUUGGAACCCUCAGAUGAGUAAUGAAGACAUCAUUGAGGCCAACAUCUUCAGUCAUAUUUUUAGGAGCAGAUUUAGCGAAGAGUGGUCCUCCUGGUUUUGCUCAUGUAUUCUGCUGAGGAGGAACCUGCUGUUGUUCUUAACAUCCUGCAGAGCUUGACUCUCCUGCUCGACAACAUCACACGCCACGGAGGUGAAAAGAUGAAGUACUGUUGAAACAGCUGGACCUGCACACAGAUAGCAGCGUCAUGUUUGGACCCCUCAAGAGAUGACAUCAUUCCAGGUUAGAAUCAUGUCAAAACACGAGAGGCUUACACGGUUUAUCCUACUCCAUCAGUUACUAUGGCGAUGCUUUCCUGGCGGAAUCCAAAAACGAGGUCCCGGCGAGGCCACGCAAGUUAGGUGAUGUGUGAGACUUUAGGUAAUCAGAGAGGAAGGAGGAUGUGAUGUAAGCAGAUAAUCACCGGGUGGAAAGAACCUGUGGAACAUAUGAAGACGUGAGAGGGACGAUUGAUCAUCCCCAGGUACGCUUCGACCAGCUGACACAACCGCAUGGAAAAAACAAUAAGGCUAACCACAUAAAGAAUAUUCCAACAUGUUGGCGAUGUGCGCUGCCAGGGCGAUGAGAUGCUAACUGGUCAUUAGCAGUAGAUUACGAUGGAUGUGUGUUGGCUUAGAACGCAUCCUCCAAGAACUUCUCACAUCCAAUUGUGGAAAACAUCUGCUCAUGGCUCUGUGAUGGAACCCAAAUAGAUGAGAUAAAUAUCAGCACGUGGCUUUGUCAAGCAGCACUGACCUUUGCGGACCUGCUGACCGGCUCAUACAGAAGCACUGUGACAAAUAUUUGCGCAGGAGGAGUGAAAGGUGGAGAACUCGUCGACAAUGUUGAUUGGAACAUUUGUUUUUCAUGAAAAACUGCUUCAAUGAGACAUUUUUCCCCAGAAGGAAAACAUCCUGCCAUGAAACUUAGGCCUGAUCACACAAGCAGACCCACUGUGUCAGUCCAAGCAAAAUCUCAAGUGUUCUUAUUGUGCUGGACCCAAAGAGAGUUCAUGUUGACCUUCAUGGUCACUUAUCUGAUUUCUAAAAUAAAGUCAGUCUGCUUAUUCUGCAACCCAGUAACCUGAUGGAGAUUUCCAAAUCAUGAAAACAAACUCAAAAGAACCUAAGAAGGCGGAAAUAAAUAUCGGUUUGGUUGAAAGUUUGAAUGUGAUGGAAUCAAACAUGACACCAACAUGAAACAUCCUAGUUGGCUGACCUCAGACAUCUCCACAGGCAUUGAAAACGGCCACUUGACACAAUCUCUUCUCCAGUUACGCAUCAUCAGUCAUCUUGUUUGGGCUCGUGAGUGCUCAGCUCACCUGUGAAACCACCUGUGUACCGUCAUGGAGUCAAACCCUCAUCCUCCCGUGCUGAGCGCCACGCAGCGCUGCUGGUAGCUCAGGCAGGAAUGCACAUAAUGAAAUGAAAAUGUGUCUGCAUACUUUCCCAUGGAAGACGCCGGAGGAGGGAGGAGGCUCCAAUUAAAGGGUGACACUAUAAACAGACGGCUGGUCAUCGGGAAUGGACUGAGUGGCAAACAAAAGCAGCGAGGAAGAAAGAGAGGAAAAAUAUGCGGCUGUUUGUAUUUCACAUGUUAUUUUUGGAUAUUUGCAGCCGCUGAAAGGUGUUUUUAUGUAACUGAAGUCCGCUAACGAGCUCAAAUACCAAAAUACAAAGACCACAGGACAAAGCAGAGUCUCUAUUUUUGACUCAUCUUGUGCUUGUUAAGCCGAAUGCAAAUGAGGCCACAAGGUGCCAUCAAGGUCACGUGAUGUGCCCCAAACCCAAACAUCUCGUGGUGCAGAGGCCAAGUUCAUGACAUCACCAGGAAGAAGCCCCGCACUCAUGCCUGUUGAGCUGGUUUUAGCAUUUGCCUUACACCCCAAGGUGACCUUUUAAUGUCAGCUUUGUAUCCUCCAUCGACUACUCAACAAGUGAGUUAGCGUGUUGAUCCAACAUCAUCAUGCGCCCGUAUGAUGAUGGAUUUCCAGGAUUGGAAAGUUUUAACGAAAGAUGAGUCGCUGGAACUCAGUGUAGCGCUGUCAAGUCUGGCUGCUUUCACAACAUUAGUCAAAUGAAGAUGAUGACAACUAGAUAUACGUUCCGGAGUCCAGCAAACAUACACGCGGGAGGUCAGUUGGACUAAGUAGAACAGGAAUUCAGUUUAAGUUCAUCAAACUUGUUUUUCUUGAACAUUCCCAGAAGACCUUCACAGCGAUUCCCCUUAAUUGCGCCACCGCAGAUCUUCUAUCACUGUGUGGAUAACAUUCCACUGAAUGAUUACACUUGGAAGGAAACCUAAAGCUUUCAAAAACGUGGUCGUAUCCCUCCCCUCACCCUCCACUGUUCCACAUCCGUAGGCCGCAACUUCUCAAACCACAAGAGGCUUCACUUUAAAAUGAGCUCCUGUGUGCACAUGAUAUAUGUUCAGAUGCAGCAUGAGUCCUGAUGGACAUGUGACGGACCACCAUCUGCUCAGAGGCCUCCCUGUUGCUUUGCUGCACGCUCCGAUGUGGGAUCUUCACGUCCCAUGCAUCAAGUUCCGUGGUUGGGUUGUCCACAUUUUCCCUCGGAUCCAUAACGUUGGCUCACGAGCUUCCUGAAAAGGACAUGUUUAGAUACUUCUCACAUAUUUGUCCUCAGUUGCCUCCUUCCAACAUUUUGGAAUUGGAUAAUUGCUUUUUUGUGUUGUUAAGGAGCCUUAUACAUGAAAGAGGCGGGGUUUGUGUCACCCUUAAAAGAAGACAAUGGAGCUCAACAAUGUGGCUUGGCGAAGUGGUCAAAGUUCACGCUGGAGGUAAAGAAGAAGAAACAGGUGGGACCGGGCCCUACCGGACGUGGUGAUGCGUCUUGGCUUCUCAUACGGCAAAGUUUGAAGUAAACAGGCCUGAUGAAGAGCAUUAUUCAUGUGUGGAGACCCAGCUUUAUGCAAGGCAUCCAUCCACAAGUCGGAGCUGCUUUGAUAGUCGAGGUCAAAGCCAGAGCAGCAGGUUCAAGCAACCUCAGAUCUUCUUCGUCGUCGCUGAGCACACACGUCCCCCUCCUCCUCGCCCCCCUUGCCUUGAUGUUGCACUAACGUGAUGUAACAAGCAAGCCUGGAUGCUCCCGUGGGGGCUGCUUAGUCGACUUAAUGGACUGCCACACUUAGCUUCAAAGGCUCCCAAGGGUGCGGGGGGUGGGGGUGUACAGAGGCGUGAAAAGAGACGAAGGUGAAGAAGUCAUCAUCUGAGUUGGCCUCGGUUGUGUCGCAGCGAGAUGAGGUUUGAACGACUGUACGCAUCAUGUCAGUCUUUUCCAGCGGGGAGGGGUCACAUGGGGCGUCAUGGCUCUGGCAGGUUGUAGCUGCAUCGCUUAUUCAAGCCAUGGUGGAAAAGUCAUGCACGCCCACAUACAGUAGGGGAAAUAAAUAUUUGAUCGACUCCUGAUUUUGUAAGUUCAAGCCCUUAAGAAUAUGAAUGUUCCAGAGACGGGAUGUAAAAAAAAUAACCAGAAAACCCCCAAUAAACACAAUUAAGCACACAAAUUAGUCCUGUCACUUUUAGGAAAGUAAUCCUGAACUCAACUGAGCUUAACGCAGCAAAAAAACCAAACCCCAGGAGUGUUGGCGUGUGGACAAGGCCUCAUAGAAGAAUGACAAGGGAGGAGGUGGAUAAUGACGUCAAGAGAGUUGGGAGUGCAGUAAGCGACAAAAGCAUUCGUAACACACUGUAAUGGAUUGAGAUAUGGCAGUGCCCUCAAGGUCUCCCUGCUCAAGAAGACACAUCUAUCGGCCCAUAUGAACGUUUCACAAGCAACACCUGAUAAAUAAAGGCUUUGCUGAACCGUGAUGUGGUCAGAUGAGAGAAAAACUGAGCUCUUUGGCAUCAACUCGACUCGCCGUGUUUGUAGGCAGAGGAAUGGUGAAUAUGAGUCCAACAACACCAUCCGUGCUGUCAAACGUGGAGGUGGAAACAUUGUGCUUUGGGGCCGUGGUGAACACUGGUGACCGACUGCAAGAAAUGGUGGACCUCUGUGCAUGUCAACAAGGUUUUCUACUGGGAAUUAUUUACCCCAAUCAAAUACAAAUUGCAAAUGAAGUUCUGUGGAAGUUUAAUCACCCCUUGUGAUAGAAGUAAUUCCCUCUUCAUAUUUAUCUGUCAUGCAGUCUGAAGAAUUGGUCGUCAUUCAUCUCCUUGUCAUCGAGCUAAGGAUCUGUCACUCAAGCACCAAUGAUGUGCUUGUGAUGCAUGCGGCUGCAUGCCAACCAUACAGAUGCUCGCUCCAUUUGAAACAGCCUGGUGUGCACGAGUGAAGUAAGGAUGAAAGUGGUGGAAAAGAAGAGAUGGAGAGGGAGGAGAGCAGGAAGUCAGCGGGCAUGCGGCCCAAAACCGCGACUCACCAUAAAUUGAUGACCUCUGUUCACCGAUGCCCGCAUGCGUGGCACAGGUGUGAGACAGGAGCACCAUUAGAAGAUGAAGACUCAUCUUUUUCACUUUGAUCUUCCUGACUUUUUGACUGCAAUUCUUUUUUGUUUGGAUGACGAGCUGGAAAACCUCUUGAGUGGAACAAGAGUUGUGUGUGAUGGCCAUAUGGAUGUAAUGAUACCCUGCAUAACAAGCAGAUAGCAUGGCACACACACAUGCAUGUAAUCACCAGUGUGCACACACAUCAAACACACACAUGCACACACAUACACACUCACACAUUAGGAUUCUGCAGGGAGGAUCAAACCGGGGAACUUGUGAGUCAGUAGACAAAACCAAAAUGAUUGUGUGAGUUUCUCACACUGUCAAGAUACAUAAGUCCAUUUAAAUGGAGACUUUGUUCUAUGACACGUUCUAUCACCCUGAAGAUGAUUUCCGCCGCUUUUCAACCUCAUCUGGACUGCAUCUGGACAAGCUUUGGUACAAUCUUCAAUGCUUGUAUUGUCCAACAGGGGGCGUCUAUAACCUGAUUUAUGACCUAUGCUCUGCCUCAUCCCCCAAAGGAUUCUAUGAUUUAUUGCUAUAAAGACCAGUCAUACUGUUUGUCUGCAGGUGAAACACAAUGGACUCAUCCAGGAGAUGAACCAUCCCACUGCAGGACAUAUCGCUGUGCCUGCCAACAGGGCACUGGGCCCACCACUCGGACAAGCACGGCCUUGCAAGCGGGAAGCUGCGGUGGACGCCUCACCUUGUCCUUGCGGGG
Doryrhamphus excisus (bluestripe pipefish) is the source of this 9008-nucleotide non-coding RNA. The record is from RefSeq and is a predicted model, not a curated record. NCBI's taxonomy places the organism in Eukaryota, Metazoa, Chordata, Actinopteri, Syngnathiformes, Syngnathidae.